Molecule: long non-coding RNA, 610 nt
Organism: Mauremys mutica (yellowpond turtle)
Lineage: Eukaryota; Metazoa; Chordata; Testudines; Geoemydidae
Exons: 3
Source: RefSeq, a predicted model, not a curated record
CAAUAACAGUAAUGAUAUUGGGUCCCAUGGAGGAAGGAGCCAGGUGCUCAGGGAGACAGCAGUGAGGCAGCAGAACUGGGAAGCUGCCAGUGAUCCCUGAGAGGAGUGGUGCUGAAAUCUGAAACAACAGUGAGUAUCAGAAGAGAAAGCACAGCAGGAAGAUGAAAAAGCUAAGAGCAACAGAGACAGCAUCACUGUUGCCAUGGUAAAAAUGGGCAUCUAAUGAGGCAGGCAGGACCCUACAAGUGACAGACAAUGCUCAGCUAGCCUUGUUGUUCCAGAGAAUUCUAAUAAUGCAUUUGGGAGGAACUAGAACAUCCAACAGAAUCCUGUCAUAGCAAGCUCAGAAGUAUUCUUUUCAGUUAAAGUCCACAGGAUAGUCAUCCAUCUGCAGUGCCUUUAAUAACUAACCAAGAGGCAGGAUUACAGAAACAGAUACAUCUUUUCAAGUCUACAGCUGAGCCUUUCUGUACCUAACAGUGUGGCAGUGCAUCAACCCUUCCCCUGAAUGCAACUCUGAAUGCAGCCACGGGAGGUGGGACUCUUUGAGGGAUUUAGUGAACUAUCCCAAUCAGAGUAAUCUGUUUUAAUGUAUUACAUUAUCUUUAAA